CCUACGUGGUGCAGCAGUGAGGAAUAUUGGUCAAUGGCCGGAAGGCUGAACCAGCCAUGCCGCGUGAAGGUCAGUGCCCUAUGGGCGUUAAACUUCUUUUGUGCGGGAGCAAUAAUGGUCACGUGUGGCCAGACGAGAGUACCCGGAGAAAAAGCAUCGGCUAACUCCGUGCCAGCAGCCGCGGUAGUACGGAGUAUGCGAGCGUUAUCCGGAUUGAGUGGGUUUAAAGGGUGCGUAGGCGGGCUGUUAAGUCAGCGGUCAAAUGUCGGGGCUCAACCCCGGCCUGCCGUUGAAACUGGCGGUCUCGAGUGGGCGAGAAGUAUGCGGAAUGCGUGGUGUAGCGGUGAAAUGCAUAGAUAUCACGCAGAACUCCGAUUGCGAAGGCAGCAUACCGGCGCCCUACUGACGCUGAGGCACGAAAGCGUGGGUAUCGAACAGGAUUAGAUACCCUUGUAGUC
RNAcentral lists this ribosomal RNA (458 nucleotides) under uncultured bacterium. Its description in RNAcentral is "partial 16S ribosomal RNA". It matches the Rfam family "Bacterial small subunit ribosomal RNA", at positions 338 to 795 of the family's 1533-position model. The record is from RNAcentral.